Molecule: transfer RNA, 69 nt
Filed under: Ictidomys tridecemlineatus (thirteen-lined ground squirrel)
Lineage: Eukaryota; Metazoa; Chordata; Mammalia; Rodentia; Sciuridae
Description: Spermophilus tridecemlineatus (thirteen-lined ground squirrel) tRNA
Rfam family: tRNA
About the family: Transfer RNA (tRNA) molecules are approximately 80 nucleotides in length.
Source: Rfam by way of RNAcentral
GGGGUUGUGGCUCAGUGGCAGAGCGCUCACCUAGCAAGUGCGAGGCCCUGGGUUCAAUCCUUGGCACCA